Molecule: ribosomal RNA, 253 nt
Filed under: uncultured bacterium
Lineage: Bacteria
Description: partial 16S ribosomal RNA
Rfam family: Bacterial small subunit ribosomal RNA
Source: RNAcentral
UACGUAGGGGGCAAGCGUUGUCCGGAUUCAUUGGGCGUAAAGAGCGUGUAGGCGGCCAGGUAGGUCGGUUGUGAAAACUGGAGGCUCAACCUUCAGAGGUCGACCGAAACCAUCUGGCUAGAGUCCGGGAGAGGAGAGUGGAAUUCCUGGUGUAGCGGUGAAAUGCGUAGAUAUCGGAAGGAACGCCGGUGGCGAAAGCGACGCGCUGGACCUCUUCUGACGCUGAGGCGCGAAAGCCAGGGGAGCAAACGGG